GGACUACCAGGGUUUCUAAUCCUGUUUGAUCCCCACGCUUUCGUGCCUCAGCGUCAAUACUCGUCCAGAUAGCCGCUUGCGCCACUGGUGUUCCUCCCAAUAUCUACGUAUUUCACUACUACACUGGGAAUUCCGCUAUCCUCUCCGAGAUUCUAGUCCUACAGUUUUGAAAGCAAUUCCAGGGUUGAGCCCUGGGCUUUCACUUCCAACUUGUAAGACAGCCUACGCACGCUUUACGCCCAGUGAUUCCGAAUAACGCUCGCCCCCCUCGUAUUACCGCGGCGGCUGGCAC
RNAcentral lists this ribosomal RNA (292 nucleotides) under uncultured bacterium. RNAcentral's name for it is "partial 16S ribosomal RNA". The record is from RNAcentral.